CUGUUUGCUGCUUUAGGUGUCUCUUUUCCUCCCUCUCUAUCUCUACUCUCCAACAUGAAGGCGCUGAGCCCGGUGCGCGGCUGCUACGAGGCGGUGUGCUGCCUGUCGGAACGUAGCCUGGCCAUUGCGCGAGGCCGCGGUAAGAGCCCGUCGACCGAGGAGCCUCUUAGCCUCUUGGACGACAUGAACCACUGCUACUCGCGCCUGCGGGAACUGGUGCCGGGAGUCCCGCGAGGCACUCAGCUUAGCCAGGUGGAAAUCCUGCAGCGUGUCAUAGACUACAUCCUCGACCUUCAGGUGGUCCUGGCAGAGCCGGCGCCUGGACCCCCGGACGGUCCGCAUCUCCCGAUCCAGGUGCGAGAGGGAGCCAGACCAGGCUGCUCUGAGCGUGCGGGCAGGGAUGCUGCGGGUCUUCCCUAUCGCGUCCCCGAGUCCCUUGGCUAACUCGUCUCCUAACCUUCUUUCACAGACAGCUGAGCUCACUCCGGAACUUGUGAUCUCCAAGGACAAGAGGAGCUUUUGCCACUGACCCGGUCGUCCUGGCACCUCCCGGUAAGCUUUCUCCUGGCGCGGGCGAGGAGGGAGGCUUGCAUGGGAAAUCCUGCCUUUGACAGAACAUUGUAAGGCUUAGGGUUCAGUCGGUUUAGGGAAAAAGCCAAGCCACUGAAAGGCAAAAGCCUUAUCUAUAAUCAGUUAGAAUAAACGACAGAACCUAUGUCAAUAUCACGUGCAUUCCUUAGACACGCUGUCCCUUCUCAUCCCGGGUGGCCAGAGCCCAGGGCAAGUGGGCGCGCGGGUCGCACCAAAUGAGCCUUGGAGUAAAGGAAGCCCUCCCCCCUUUCCACUAGUGUUAUUUCUAAGCGGGAGGGGGAGUGGUGACUCCGCCUGUGGUCCUUUGGCGCCAACUGGGUGGAGGCAGUGUGGGGAGCGGAGUUAUCAGCUGGAGGUAGAGACCGAGUUUCCUCCCUGGCGCCGGCCAGUCUGCGGCAUCCUCCGCCUGGGCGCGCUCGGCGGAAACUGACGGCUCCCUCGCUCUUCUCUCCUCCCCCGCCCAGAACGCAGGUGCUGGCGCCCGUUCCGCUUGGGACCCUGGGACUCUGGGACCCUCUCUCCAGCCGGAAGCCUGAGGGCAUGGAUGAGCUUCGAUCUUAACCCAGCCCUCUUCACUUACCCUGAACUCAACGCCUCGAGGCUGGACCUGGAGCCCGAGAGAAGGACUGAACUUGGGUGGCCUGAAGAGCUAGCACACGCUGGUCAGCAGCUGGGCAACGUCACUCUGUCCCCACCCUGACUCAAGUCUAAAAGACUGGCUUUUCCGAGAAUGGGGUGUCGAGAGGGUGUGGGGGGAUGCGAGUGGCUGCCCUGCGCACUCUGCCAAGGCAGCAUAAGAGCUGUUCUUCUGGUUUCCUUGGAGAAAAGCUCUGCUGCCCUGAUUAUGAACUCUAUAAUAGAGUAUAUAGCUUUUGUACCUUUUUUACAGGAAGGUGACUUUCUGUAAUCAUGUGAUGUAUAUUAAACUUUUUAUAAAAGUUAACAUUUUGCAUAAUAAACCAUUUUUGAACACUUUGUGUAUGACAUCUUGCGCCACCUCCUAGGAGCUUGGGGCGGGCAGAUUUGCAUACCCUUUUAGGGACGAGAAAGUUCCCAGCUGAAGCUGAGGGCUAGGGUGGCUUGGUUAGUAGGAAGGGCUGGGGUUGGGAAUCCCCAAAAACAUUGGAGGUUGAAAGCAAGGAUCUAUGAUCCUACUCUCAAUUACAGGAGCCUCUCCUACAGCCGGCAAGUCUGAGACCGAAUCUUUUUAUUUCUUCAAUUCCUUGAAACUUGGCAGCAGCUCUUAGAUGGAUGCCGCAAAUGAUUGGGCGAACCUUCCUGGCGGCUCGGGGUCAAGUGUGGGGAUGAACUAUUUCGUAUUUAAAUAAACUGCCUCCAUUAACUUCAUGCUUUCUGGUCUGCCUUCCCCCCAGACUUCCAAACUUGGAGAAAGGAACCCUGCGGGUGAGGUGGGGGGUAUAGUGAUUUGUACUUUAAUCCCAGCACUCAUGAGGCAGAGGCACACAAUCUCUUGAGUUUGAAACCUGGAACUCACUAUAUAUAUAUUGCUAUGUAUAGUGAGUUCCAGGAUGGUCAGCUACGCGGGAAGACCCUGUAUAUAGGAAAACCAAACCCAGGGUCUUGCCUCAGGUCUGCAGCCACUUUUCAGGGUGUAGGCUUGCUGGGAAACUCAAGUUCCCUUAAUGUUUGGUAAACUUUGACCUGGGGUUUGAGAAUAAUGAGUAUAGUAUUGCGGUUGGCAGGAAAGGGACCUUAGACUGGCCAUUUCUGGGGCAGGCCUGGGAGUUGGGUAAAAGGCAAGGUGGCAACCCAUGCCCCAUCUCUCCACCCCAACAUGGUUCCUCCCCAGGUGGGCUGCAUCAGGCCCCCAUCGUCACAGGAUUCCUAUUUAUAUGAUCUCAUCUGUGUCGGCCUUGGCAUGUGCUACUUGUAUUUCAUAACAAACAUUUCAUUACCCUUUGUGCAUUAACCAUAGUGAGCUUUCUGGGGUGAAACAGGGUCGUGGCAGAAGGGGAGGAGAGGGGAGCAACCUCCUUGCCAGUUGUCCUUCCAGUCUGAUUAAUGGUUUUUAACCUGUCUGGUUUCUUCUGAUGAACCAAUGGGAGAUAUGACCAUCUUUCAGAAAUCACACAUGAAAUUUCGCAGAAUAAUGGCAGGCCCCCCACCUCUGGAGGUCCUGUUUCUACAUAAGAAAACUUUUGCCUUAAAUUUAAUACUCUAGUGACAUCCAUCUUGGACUGUGUGUUAAGGUAUGCUGUGUUCUCUGAAGAGAGCCCGUCAAACAUGACAAUCCUGCAUCGGCUGAAUACAGCAGGCUACAGGCUAUGCCUCCAGCGAGCCAGUUUCCACAUUCGUACCAGGUGACAGUUCUGAGGGGGUCUGCCUUCUGUUCACUUAGAGGUUAUGACCAAGGAGGGAUUGAAAGCUUUAGUGGAGCAAGCCGCUUCUCUCUGAGCCCAGCUGCCUCCAAGGACUGAAGAUAAUGAUGGGAAACUUCUUUGAAAUGCAUCACACACCUACGAGGCAUUAUUAAGCUAAUUCCAAGGAAAUUGCUUGUCAGGACUCCCAGGGCUGAGCAGUUCAGGUGGCCCGGACAAAAGCUUAGACCAUCUAGCCAAUCCAUUAGUCAUUAGAAACUGAAAGCACUUUAGCCCUAGGUCAGAAACCUCUGAGUUAGUCUGCUGUUGUAAUCAUUUAUGGGCGUGCCUACCAGGUGCCCCGGUCCAUUUCAUUACAUCCUAAUCUUUUUUUCUAAUCAGCAAGGUGUGUACCUUGAAUAAGUUGAUCAAGGUCACAGCAAGGAAGUGGGAGAAGGUAUUUAGGAAAGCCAGCUUCCUGUAGAAUCUAAGUCUGGGUUCUCAUUCUCUACUUUAGACAGCUUUCCCGAGUCAACGGCUUCGUGAAUGGGGCACAAAUUAGAAGCCCAGUAAGAGCUUGUUGGGGG
This 3496-nucleotide long non-coding RNA is filed under the name Mus musculus (house mouse). RNAcentral's name for it is "long non-coding RNA chr4:136143824-136147320". The record is from RNAcentral. Lineage: Eukaryota; Metazoa; Chordata; Mammalia; Rodentia; Muridae.